This 300-nucleotide ribosomal RNA is filed under the name Bacteroidota bacterium. RNAcentral's name for it is "partial 23S ribosomal RNA". It matches the Rfam family "Bacterial large subunit ribosomal RNA", at positions 2613 to 2925 of the family's 2925-position model. The record is from RNAcentral. Lineage: Bacteria; Pseudomonadati; Bacteroidota.
AGAACGUCGCAAGACAGUUCGGUCCCUAUCUGUGGUUUUCGCAAGUAAAUUGAGAGUACAUUAACUUAGUACGAUAGGACAGUUUCGUAAGUACCGCUGGUGUAUCAGUUGUGCCGCCAGGUGCAAUGCUGAGUAGCUAUGUACGGACAGGAUAAACGCUGAAAGCAUCUAAGCGUGAAACCUUCCUCAAGAUGAGUUUACUUUUAAGGGCCGUCAAAGACUAUGACGUUGAUAGGCUACAGGUGUAAAACUGGUAACAGUAAAGCCGAGUAGUACUAAUUGCCCGUACGCUUUAAUUUU